This 372-nucleotide ribosomal RNA is filed under the name uncultured organism. Its description in RNAcentral is "partial 16S ribosomal RNA". It matches the Rfam family "Bacterial small subunit ribosomal RNA", at positions 527 to 896 of the family's 1533-position model. The record is from RNAcentral.
GUAGGUGGCAAGCGUUGUCCGGAAUUAUUGGGCGUAAAGCGCGCGCAGGUGGUCUUUAAGUCUGAUGUGAAAGCCCCCGGGCUCAACCGGGGAGGGUCAUUGGAAACUGGGGAACUUGAGUGCAGGAGAGGAAAGUGGAAUUCCACGUGUAGCGGUGUAAUGCGUAGACAUGUGGAGGAACACCAGUGGCGAAGGCGACUUUCUGGCCUGUAACUGACACUGAGGCGCGAAAGCGUGGGGAGCAAACAGGAUUAGAUACCCUGGUAGUCCACGCCGUAAACGAUGAGUGCUAAGUGUUGGGGGGUUUCCGCCCCUCAGUGCUGCAGCUAACGCAUUAAGCACUCCGCCUGGGGAGUACGGUCGCAAAGACUG